RNAcentral lists this ribosomal RNA (821 nucleotides) under uncultured bacterium. RNAcentral's name for it is "bacterial SSU rRNA". It matches the Rfam family "Bacterial small subunit ribosomal RNA", at positions 60 to 894 of the family's 1533-position model. The record is from RNAcentral.
AGCCGAACGAGAGAGAAGGAGCUUGCUUCUUCGAUCGAGUGGCGAACGGGUGAGUAACGCGUGAGGAACCUGCCUCAAAGAGGGGGACAACAGUUGGAAACGACUGCUAAUACCGCAUAAGCCCACGGGUCGGCAUCGACCUGAGGGAAAAGGAGCAAUCCGCUUUGAGAUGGCCUCGCGUCCGAUUAGCUAGUUGGUGAGGUAACGGCCCACCAAGGCGACGAUCGGUAGCCGGACUGAGAGGUUGAACGGCCACAUUGGGACUGAGACACGGCCCAGACUCCUACGGGAGGCAGCAGUGGGGAAUAUUGCACAAUGGGGGAAACCCUGAUGCAGCGACGCCGCGUGGAGGAAGAAGGUCUUCGGAUUGUAAACUCCUGUUGUUGAGGAAGAUAAUGACGGUACUCAACAAGGAAGUGACGGCUAACUACGUGCCAGCAGCCGCGGUAAAACGUAGGUCACAAGCGUUGUCCGGAAUUACUGGGUGUAAAGGGAGCGCAGGCGGGAAGACAAGUUGGAAGUGAAAUCUAUGGGCUUAACCCAUAAACUGCUUUCAAAACUGUUUUUCUUGAGUAGUGCAGAGGUAGGCGGAAUUCCCGGUGUAGCGGUGGAAUGCGUAGAUAUCGGGAGGAACACCAGUGGCGAAGGCGGCCUACUGGGCACCAACUGACGCUGAGGCUCGAAAGUGUGGGUAGCAAACAGGAUUAGAUACCCUGGUAGUCCACACCGUAAACGAUGAUUACUAGGUGUUGGAGGAUUGACCCCUUCAGUGCCGCAGUUAACACAAUAAGUAAUCCACCUGGGGAGUACGACCGCAAGGU